CCCUUAGACGUUCUGGGCCGCACGCGCGCUACACUGACACAGGCAACGAGCUUUCCUUUACCGAAAGGUAUGGGUAAUCUUUUGAAACUGUGUCGUGCUGGGGAUAGAUCCUUGCAAUUUUUGAUCUUAAACGAGGAAUUCCUAGUAAGCGCGAGUCAUCAACUCGCGUCGAUUACGUCCCUGCCCUUUGUACACACCGCCCGUCGCUACUACCGAUUGAAUGGCUUAGUGAGGCCUCAGGAUCCGCGCUUAAUGUGUGGAGAAUUUGGACAAACUACGUCAUUUAGAGGAAGUAAAAGUCGUAACA
RNAcentral lists this ribosomal RNA (307 nucleotides) under uncultured eukaryote. Its description in RNAcentral is "partial 18S ribosomal RNA". It matches the Rfam family "Eukaryotic small subunit ribosomal RNA", at positions 1470 to 1796 of the family's 1831-position model. The record is from RNAcentral.